This 231-nucleotide unclassified non-coding RNA is filed under the name Glomeromycetes sp. RNAcentral describes it as "partial contains 5.8S ribosomal RNA and internal transcribed spacer 2". The stretch from base 1 to 71 matches the Rfam family "5.8S ribosomal RNA", at positions 84 to 154 of the family's 154-position model. Lineage: Eukaryota; Fungi; Glomeromycota; Glomeromycetes. The record is from RNAcentral.
GUGAAUCAUCAAAUCUUUGAACGCAAAUUGCGCUUCCUGGCAUCCCGGGAAGUAUGCCUGUUUGAGGGUCAGUAUUAAUAAAAAAUCGGCUUAGUUACAAAUUGUGACGUUUCCGGAGUUUGGGCUAUCUUAACAUUUUUUGUUUAGAAGCUUAAAAUUUAACUUUUUUGCGCCUUUUUAAACGUUCCUUAAUUUUUUUUUUUCGUUUAUUCUUUAUUCCAAAAACUUAUU